This 514-nucleotide ribosomal RNA is filed under the name uncultured Methanofollis sp. Its description in RNAcentral is "bacterial SSU rRNA". It matches the Rfam family "Archaeal small subunit ribosomal RNA", at positions 276 to 804 of the family's 1478-position model. Lineage: Archaea; Methanobacteriati; Methanobacteriota; Methanomicrobia; Methanomicrobiales; Methanomicrobiaceae. The record is from RNAcentral.
GUGGGAGCAAGAGCCCGGAGAUGGAUUCUGAGACACGAAUCCAGGCCCUACGGGGCGCAGCAGGCGCGAAAACUUUACAAUGCAGGAAACUGUGAUAAGGGAACCCCGAGUGCCCGUAUGGACGGGCUGUUCAGGUGCUUAAAAACCACCUGGAGAAAGGGCCGGGCAAGACCGGUGCCAGCCGCCGCGGUAAUACCGGCGGCUCGAGUGGUGGCCACUAUUACUGGGCUUAAAGCGUCCGUAGCUUGGUCGUUAAGCCUCUGGGGAAAUCUUCCGGCUCAACCGGAAGGCGUCUCAGGGGAACUGGCGACCUAGGGAUCGGGAGAGGUGAGAGGUACUCUGGGGGUAGGAGUGAAAUCCUGUAAUCCUCAGGGGACCACCUGUGGCGAAGGCGUCUCACCAGAACGACUCCGACAGUGAGGGACGAAAGCUGGGGGAGCAAACCGGAUUAGAUACCCGGGUAGUCCCAGCCGUAAACUAUGUGCGUUAGGUGAGUAUUGGGAAUUCCUGCAGC